RNAcentral lists this long non-coding RNA (242 nucleotides) under Eucalyptus grandis. RNAcentral's name for it is "long non-coding RNA (EGRA_LNC006454)". The record is from RNAcentral. Lineage: Eukaryota; Viridiplantae; Streptophyta; Magnoliopsida; Myrtales; Myrtaceae.
GUCGCCGUUUGGAAUGAACAAACCGUUCUAAUUAUGGAGGAAAUGUCAAUGAAAGAAUAAAUUUCGCAAGAGAAAUGAUACAGUGCGAAUUACCGACUUCUUCAUUAUCUUCAAGCUUUUCUUCAGCUUUGACAUGCAUAUUUAAAGCACAACAUAUUACCGAAUUGGCUUGUUUCCUCAAUGUUGCAUUGUCAAUGAACAUGACUGUUGACAUCUUCCUCGAUUUUUCUCAUGGUUUCAAG